Molecule: microRNA precursor, 177 nt
Filed under: Oryza meridionalis
Lineage: Eukaryota; Viridiplantae; Streptophyta; Magnoliopsida; Poales; Poaceae
Description: MIR812 microRNA precursor family
Rfam family: MIR812 microRNA precursor family
Source: Rfam by way of RNAcentral
AAAAAGAUAAACCCUAAUUUCCGUGUCUAACGUUUGACUAUCCGAAUUUCUUUUAUAAUUAGUAUUUUCAUUGUUGUUAGAUGAUAAAACAUGAUUAAUAUGUGACUUGUCUUUUUAUUUUUUUUAUAUUUUUUUUAAAUAAGACGGACGGUCAAACGUUGGACACAGAAACCCAGG